RNAcentral lists this ribosomal RNA (253 nucleotides) under uncultured bacterium. RNAcentral's name for it is "partial 16S ribosomal RNA". It matches the Rfam family "Bacterial small subunit ribosomal RNA", at positions 524 to 776 of the family's 1533-position model. The record is from RNAcentral.
UACGUAGGGGGCUAGCGUUGUCCGGAUUUAUUGGGCGUAAAGAGCGUGUAGGCGGCCAGGUAGGUCCGCUGUGAAAGUCCGAGGCUUAACCUCGAGCUGUCGGCGGAAACCAUCUGGCUAGAGUCCGGAAGAGGAGAAUGGAAUUCCCGGUGUAGCGGUGAAAUGCGCAGAUAUCGGGAAGAACACCCGUGGCGAAGGCGGUUCUCUGGGACGGUACUGACGCUGAGACGCGAAAGCGUGGGGAGCGAACAGG